AGGACGAACGCUGGCGGCGUGCUUAACACAUGCAAGUCGAGCGGUAAGGCCCUUUCGGGGGUACACGAGCGGCGAACGGGUGAGUAACACGUGGGUGACCUGCCUUUAGCUUCGGGAUAAGCCCGGGAAACUGGGUCUAAUACCGGAUAUGACCUUCUCCUCGCAUGGGGGUUGGUGGAAAGUUUUUCGGCUAGAGAUGGGCCCGCGGCCUAUCAGCUUGUUGGUGGGGUGAUGGCCUACCAAGGCGACGACGGGUAGCCGGCCUGAGAGGGCGACCGGCCACACUGGGACUGAGAUACGGCCCAGACUCCUACGGGAGGCAGCAGUGGGGAAUAUUGCGCAAUGGGCGGAAGCCUGACGCAGCGACGCCACGUGGGGGAUGACGGCCUUCGGGUUGUAAACCUCUUUCGACCGGGACGAAGCGAGAGUGACGGUACCGGUAGAAGAAGCACCGGCCAACUACGCGCCAGCAGCCGC
This 477-nucleotide ribosomal RNA is filed under the name uncultured bacterium. RNAcentral's name for it is "SSU rRNA". It matches the Rfam family "Bacterial small subunit ribosomal RNA", at positions 26 to 518 of the family's 1533-position model. The record is from RNAcentral.